Long non-coding RNA from Bombus impatiens (common eastern bumble bee), 655 nucleotides. RefSeq lists it as uncharacterized. The record is from RefSeq and is a predicted model, not a curated record. The transcript is spliced from 3 exons. NCBI's taxonomy places the organism in Eukaryota, Metazoa, Arthropoda, Insecta, Hymenoptera, Apidae.
UCUGAAAGAAGAAGCAAUCGGCGAAUUGGCAUAAAUUGGACUCAAUGAAGGCAAAUUGGAUCUAACCAAAUCGUCUCAGCCUUCCUCUCGCCUUUGCUCUUACGCUUUUGUGUCACUGUCGAAAAAUUCUUUCGAAGGAUUCAAGAAUUAAAUUGGCCAGAUAAGUUUGAUCAAAAUGACGGAAAAGCUACUAGUCAUUUAGAAAUACAAGGCGUGGUGCAUUCGUACUCGCGAACCAGUUUCAGAUAUUCUAUACGGAAAGAAGAGAACAGCGACGACAGUAAAAGGAAACUUAAACUGAGAAGUCGCGCGCAGCUGUCGCGGCCAAGCUUUAUCUGUCGCGUGUGCAAGAUUACUGAUAAACGAGUCUUUACCUGGAAGAACAACAUGAAGCACACCCAUUGGUAGUAAGUGUAAUAUUUCCUUGCAUCCACAUCGCCGAAGUCGUUCGCCACUCCUGGAUGCGCCACCUCUACACCGACCUGAUAAAAGGAACAAAUGUUCUGUCAACAAUAGGACGUAUCAGAAAUAUUGGUCAAAAGGAUAAUUAGCGUUACAAAUAUAUGACAAAAAAUGGAAAAAUUAAUAAUUAUUAAGAAAUUAUAUAUCAACUACACGAAUUAUUCUUAAUUAAGUAUCAUAACAAAGUUUCUGA